UACGAAGGGUCCAAGCGUUAUCCGGAUUUAUUGGGUUUAAAGGGUGCGUAGGCGGCUUAUUAAGUCAGUGGUGAAAGACUUCAGCUUAACUGAAGAACUGCCAUUGAUACUGAUGAGCUUGAAUGUAGUUGAGGUGGGCGGAAUGUGUCAUGUAGCGGUGAAAUGCUUAGAUAUGACACAGAACACCGAUUGCGAAGGCAGCUUACUACCCGAAUAUUGACACUGAGGCACGAAAGCGUGGGGAUCAAACAGG
Molecule: ribosomal RNA, 253 nt
Filed under: uncultured bacterium
Lineage: Bacteria
Description: partial 16S ribosomal RNA
Rfam family: Bacterial small subunit ribosomal RNA
Source: RNAcentral